CCUACGGGAGGCAGCAGUGAGGAAUAUUGGACAAUGGGCGCAAGCCUGAUCCAGCCAUGCCGCGUGCAGGAAGAAGCAUCUAUGGUGUGUAAACUGCUUUUGUACAGGAAGAAACACUCCCUCGUGAGGGAGCUUGACGGUACUGUAAGAAUAAGGACCGGCUAACUCCGUGCCAGCAGCCGCGGUAAUACGGAGGGUCCGAGCGUUAUCCGGAAUCAUUGGGUUUAAAGGGUCCGUAGGCGGUUUAAUAAGUCAGUGGUGAAAUCUGGUCGCUCAACGAUCAAACGGCCAUUGAUACUGUUAGACUUGAAUUAUAAGGAAGUAACUAGAAUAUGUAGUGUAGCGGUGAAAUGCUUAGAUAUUACAUGGAAUACCAAUUGCGAAGGCAGGUUACUACUUAUGGAUUGACGCUGAUGGACGAAAGCGUGGGGAGCGAACAGGAUUAGAUACCCGGGUAGUCCACGCCGUAAACGAUGGAUACUAGCUGUUCGGAGCAAUCUGAGUGGNGAGAGAAGAGAGUAAGUAGUACCACCGUACGGGAGGUACGGUUAACGUCGAAGAAAGUUAGUAAACGUUAACGAAAGGAAGUUAGACGGCGNGAGACGNGCGACGGACGACGACGAGGGAGGAGG
This 632-nucleotide ribosomal RNA is filed under the name uncultured bacterium. Its description in RNAcentral is "bacterial SSU rRNA". The stretch from base 1 to 533 matches the Rfam family "Bacterial small subunit ribosomal RNA", at positions 338 to 873 of the family's 1533-position model. The record is from RNAcentral.